GGAGAAUUCAAGCAAGAAGAGUCUGAGGUAGAUGUUUUAUCACAAAUAUAGCCAUUAGAAACAGGUAGAUCUAAAGAAUCCGCAACUUUUUCCAUCUGAUGGGAGGCUUCGGAAGUAGCUUUUACCGAACCAGUUGAAUCACACAUCAAAGCAAACGUCAUUUCACUUGAAGCAAUUGUUUCCUUUCCUGCAGGCACUUCAAGUGUGUCACAUUCAUUUCUAUCUUGCCAAUCUACAGAGGAUGUCUCCUGGCAAACCUUGUCAACAGAAUCGGAGUCAUUAUUCAGACGCUUAACCUCUCCUUU
RNAcentral lists this unclassified non-coding RNA (305 nucleotides) under Hevea brasiliensis (rubber tree). The record is from RNAcentral. Lineage: Eukaryota; Viridiplantae; Streptophyta; Magnoliopsida; Malpighiales; Euphorbiaceae.